AGAAUCAACGCUGGCGGCGUGCCUAACACAUGCAAGUCGAACGAGAAAGUGGAGCAAUCCAUGAGUAAAGUGGCGCACGGGUGAGUAACACGUGACUAACCUACCCUUGAGUGGGGGAUAACCUCGGGAAACCGGGGCUAAUACCGCAUAACAUCGAGAGAUCAAAGGAGCAAUUCGCUUAAGGAGGGGGUCGCGGCUGAUUAGCUAGUUGGUGAGGUAAUGGCUCACCAAGGCUAUGAUCAGUAUCCGGCCUGAGAGGGCGCACGGACACACUGGAACUGAAACACGGUCCAGGCUCCUACGGGAGGCAGCAGUGGGGAAUUUUGCGCAAUGGGGGAAACCCUGACGCAGCAACGCCGCGUGGAGGAUGAAGUCCCUUGGACGUAAACUCCUUUCGAUCGGGACGAUAAUGACGGUACCGGAAGAAGAAGCCCGGCUAACUUCGACGCCAGCAGCCGC
This 459-nucleotide ribosomal RNA is filed under the name uncultured bacterium. Its description in RNAcentral is "SSU rRNA". It matches the Rfam family "Bacterial small subunit ribosomal RNA", at positions 26 to 518 of the family's 1533-position model. The record is from RNAcentral.